Molecule: non-coding RNA, 30 nt
Filed under: Halorubrum vacuolatum
Lineage: Archaea; Methanobacteriati; Methanobacteriota; Halobacteria; Halobacteriales; Haloferacaceae
Source: RNAcentral
GUUUCAGACGGACCCCUGUGGUGUUGAAGC